This is a long non-coding RNA of Cavia porcellus (domestic guinea pig), 32729 nucleotides long. RefSeq lists it as uncharacterized. The transcript has 4 exons. The record is from RefSeq and is a predicted model, not a curated record. Lineage: Eukaryota; Metazoa; Chordata; Mammalia; Rodentia; Caviidae.
ACUUUCUCGAGAGCCCUGGAGAGCCGCUCUAGUGGCUUCGGGGCCUGAAACCCCGGGCUUGGCUUGUUUGAUGUUUAGCAUCCCAAAGCGGCUCCCCACCCCCGCCCCAGCCUGGGAACCCAGAGCUGUGGGCCAGGAAGGAAGGAAAGUAGCCCUCUCAGCUGGCGGGCCUUGGGCUGGGCUGGGCUGGGGGGAGGCGAGAAGAGCCGGCCUGAGAUGCCCUCCACAGGGGAGGGAGGGAUCCUGGGCUGCUGCCGCCACUAUACGGGCCCAGCUGGGAUCCGGGAGGCUGGGAGAACAGGGCAUGCCUUGGCCGCAGGGCCAAGGCUCGGAAUAGGGGCUGUAACCAGCGAAGUCCACGCCAGGCCGGGCCCACUCCCGAGAAACACUGGGGCACUUGGAGAUCGGCGAGGCCCGGCUCCUGCCCAGGUCCCCCCAGGAGGCAGGUUUCCCCGCUGGUUAGGGCUUGGCCCUUCAUAGGGAAAGACCUGCUAGGAGUCUUCGGAGGAAGUUUAGAUUCUCCUGGGCCGGGGCCAGGGAGGUCCAGUGGCAGUGCUCGAAUCCGGCCUCCUAGUCUCUCUCGGAAGAAAGCUCAGACUUUAGAGGCCGCGCGGGCUGGAGCGCGCUCUCCGCGUCCCGCCGCGGUGCGGGGCUCUCUCCAGGCGCCACCGCGCACAGGUAGCGGGAGUCUCUCCCCAGGCUCAGGCGAUCCGGGAGGAGAGGAAAUGCGAGCGAGGUGUUCUGACUUCCACCUCGUUAGGGGACCAGGUUCUCAUUCUUCAGGAUCAGGCAUAGAGUCUGUCUGAAUGGCUCCAAUUAUCAGGAUGCUAAAAUCUAAAUCAGAUUCUGCCACUUUGUCACUGAGAGUUGAGCCCUGGGCUUCCCACACGGUUGGCAAGUACUCUACUACUGAGCUUCACCCUCAUUCCUUUUUACUUUGAGACAAUAUCUCAUAAAUUGCACAUACUGACCUUAAACUUGUGAUCUUCCUGCUUCAGCCUCCCAGGUAGCUGGGAUUAUAAGUGUGCCUGGUUUAAAUUUUAAAAGAAAAGUCUUCCUUCCCAAACUUUGCGUUCUCUGAGGUGCUCAUAAGAGCACCUACAUUUAUUUGACUACAUUUAUUUAAGAUAAAGAAAAUUGCCUAAGGCUGGAAAAGGAGAUCUGGAUAGACGAAAGAAAUCUUUGGGACCAUUAGAUUUUUGACACCAUAUCUAUUGACCCACUACAUCAUGGAAAUGGUUUUGAGCAGAGCUAAGGAAAAGCACUACAAAGUUCUAAGAAGUGGAAUUCAUUGUAAAGAGGACAUAUGUAAGGCAUGGGAAUAAGCCAGGAGUGGUGGUGCAUGCCUGUAAUAUCAGCAUUCAGGAGGCUGAAGCAGGAAGAUCACAAGUCCAGCUGGGGCAAUUUAGUGAGACCUUGUCUCAAAAUUAACAAAUAAAAAGACUGAGGUUCAGUACAAACUCUGGUAUUGAAAAAAAGACAUGGGUGUGAUUUUUUUUUAUGGAUGUGAUUUUUAAAAGUUUAUUUUGUUUUUCAAGAUUUCUAUUGGCAAGACAGAGUGGCCACCUCAGAUUUUCCACAGUGACUUGGUAGUAAAGGCAUGAUUUGUCCACAUCUUGAGAUGGUCUGCUGUGGUUAUGAACAUGAACAAUGCGACAUUUUACUUUAAAGUUUAAACAAAGAUCUUUUUCUGGUUAUAAAUAGCAGGCUUUAGCUGCCUUGCCAUUAAAAAAAAAAAAAGGCUACUUGUCUCUUUUUUUUUUAGGGCGGUGGAAAUUAAAUCAAGAUCUUGUGUUUGCCAAGCAGGUACUAUGCUGCUGAGCCAAAUCCCCAGCCCCUGCUUUUCUUUAACAAGAAUGUGCUCCAUAAAUUUUGCAGAACUUUAGGUGACGUGAGGAAAGGUAUCGGAAUAGAGUUAGAUCUUGGGAAUUCUCUGGUCACUUCUGUGAACUUACAUUAGGACAUUUUGCAAGAAAGUAGUAGAGGAUAACUAAGUUAUGAGGAAAAGUUGAUGAUUUCCUGAUUAUAGAGGACAGAAUUAGGAGGUUGUUGAAGAGUGAUAAUCAUUGCACAAGUCACGCAAAGACAGAAAAGGCAGCUGAGAGAUGAGGGUUGCUUCACUUCCCUGGAUAUCUCUGCACGGAAUCCCCUCAGCCUCUGAUUGAGCUGCUGGCCGCUCCUCCUGUCAUUUAUGUUCAGGAGGCCCUGCCCAGGGGAGAAGCCCUGGCCCCUCCAGAAGCUGGGAACAUGGAGGCCGGUGAACAUGAGUGUGUGACUCCCAAUUUUUAAAAACCGUCCAUCUGCCACCAUCCACAAGUGUCACUGAAGUCCUCUCAAAUCUGUUCUGUAGAAAGCAUCUGAAAAAAAAUGGACUUUGAAAUAAACUUUCAGAUGUGACAAAGUGACCGUACAACUUAUCUAGCCCACAUCUAGUGCCAAUUUCGUUUUGGAAGCACGAGCGAAUCAUUAUUUUAUUUUUAUGAGAUUACCACCCAAAUGUGAACCCGUAAAGUGAGUUAUUGCCAGCAAUCAGGACCACUUGUCACACAACAUCAGCAAGAGGGACUCAGGUGAGAAACAACUCUGAUUAUAGUAUUUAGUCCAAAUGUACAUCAGUUGUAACUCCUUAAGUGUAUUUCUUUUAGCAGCUAAUUGAAAUAUUUUAUCAUCGAAAAGUCUUGACACAACAGUUAUACAAACAGGCGUAUGGGAACACAGGGAAAUUAAAUAAGACUUACAAUAUACACCUUAACAAAAUGAUGGCUUAAUUUGUACUCCCUUUGUAAUUUUAACUAAAUAUUGUGGUGAGUAGUUCUUACUUUAAAUACUAAGUAUAUGGGCAUUUAUUACACACAAUAUGAAAAUACUUCAGGAGGUUUGUGAUUAACUCCGUGGAAUUCAGGCAUAGUUUAUAGAGACUUUCAAUCAAAGACAAAGGCCCGAGCAGAUGAUGAAACACAUGAAAAAGAUGCAUGUACACAACUUAAUUCAAACUUGCUUAUAUUAGCUCAGUGCUAGUUCUUGGCUUGUCACUCAAGUUCCCAAACAAGUACCCUUACCCCAAACCUAGCUCAGGAUUCCCUGCAGAUUAGCCUCCAGGGCAGAUAGGGGCCAGAAAAAAUACAGGGUACCAAGUUAAAUCUAAAUUCAGAUAAACAAUAUAUGUCUUUAGUAUUAAUAUGUGCAAAUAGCACGUGCACCAUACUGUAUUACAAAAUAGUUGUUCAUUAGCAAUUCAAAUGUCAUUGAGUACCUUACUUAUUUAGUUUAUUGUAGUACUGGGGAUUAAACUCAUGGUGUUAUCACUAAGCUACAUCCCAAGCUCUUUUCCUAUUUUUCUUAAAUUUUGAAACAGGGUCUCACUAAUACAUUAAGUACAGGUUAGGUUCAAACUUGUGAUCUUCCUGCCUCAGCCUCACUGAAUGCUGGGAUUACAGAUGUGUGCACGUAUAUUCAACUGUACUUUUAGUUUUUCUAAAUCUAACCACCGUACUCCAGGGGUGCUGAAGCAUACCCACUCACCUCCUUUCCCUGUCCUCAGUGGCAGAACUUCACAUCUUUUAACCAUGCAGAUAUUUGUCCUUCUGCUUAUGUGCUUCAUGUCUGAAACACAACACCUUAUAGGUUUGAAAUCCUGAAUCCUGAAUUUGCAUCUAGUUCUGUGUUCUGAGUCUCCUAUUGGAUCCUUCUGGCUUUGGGAUGAAUGUGGUUUGUUCUCCCAGGGCUCAUGUGGUGGAGGCCUGCUCCUCAGUGGUAAAGUUGAGGGGGUGGGACCUUGCAAGGCAGUUGGAGUUCAUUAGGUCAUUGCAUAGCAUUAAGGUAGUUCUCUCAUGGACCCAAAGUUUGAUCUAGCCAGGGAGUUAUUAUAAGAGAAGCCCAGCUCUGAACCCCUAAAUUGCUGUGGCUUCUUUUGCCAGGAUAUGAUCUCUUCUUCCCAAAAGUGCUCCAACCAUUGUGGACCUAUCCAGCAUCAGCUGAUAGGACACCAGUGUCAUGCCCUUGAACUGUGAGCUAAAUAAACCCCUUUUAUUUGUAAAGUUGCCAGUCUUGGGUAUUUUGUUAUAGUAACAGAAAUGGAGUAACAUCUAGUCUUGCCCCCUUUUACUUAGGCUUGUUUUCUCCCAACCGAAGAUGUUCAUAUUUUCAAAGAAUUGCUAAACAUUAGUGAUUGGAGAGAAGUUGGCUGCCAGGUUACUAAUUGUAACACAGAAAAUUCUAAGACCUGUAUUCCUCUUUCUGUCUCCUAGAAUUUGAAUUCCAAUUUUGAUUUUUCAAAUGCUUAUUCUGAAGGUUCAGUGCUUAGCUUUAAAAAGGCACACAGUGGAAAAUGAGAUUGGAAGGUGCCCUAGCCAAGUUUGCCACCCCCGCUUUUCCCAGCUUGGUCUGUUGAAGCUUUGGAAAAGGUACCUACUCAAUAGUUUAGUUUCAAAUUAAACUUGGAUUUUCUAAGUCACACCAAAUGUCACCACGUCCAAAGACCAGUAACUAAAAAAUUGGAACGAUACUACAAUGAAAUAAACAAUGAACAGUUCAAACCUUGGCUUUGUGUGUGAGGUCCUAGGCAAAUUGUUUAGCCUUCAUGACCCUCAGUCUCCUUUUCUACAAAAUGGCACAGAAAAGUGACUGUCAAGGAAGAUACUAUGUGUAGAAAUAAUGUGUAAUUUUAAGCACAACCGAGACAUUUGCAGUGAUGUUGAUAAUGAUGAUCACAAUUGAGACAUAAACAUUACAUCACUUAUUAAUGAUAUAUUUUCAUUAGGACUUUUAAAUCUUUCUUACCUACUAGAUUCAUAUGAACUAUAUAACUAUAUGCAUAAGAUUACUGCUUCAUAUAGUUUGAGAAAAGAAAAAAAGGUACUGGAAAUAAACCCUAUUUCGUAUAUUUUAGGAAGCAGAUUCUAAAAGAUCUUGUGCUUAAAAAUGAAAUGUUUGGAGUAGAAUAUUUAUUUAUUUAGGAUGACACUGGAAAAUGGAUAGCAGUGAGGGACACAGAAAUAUUUUUAUUUUUUAUUUUUAUUUUAUUUUUGGAGCAAUACUGAAUGCCCAGGAGUAUUAGCAGAGUCUUCUAAACACAUUUAUCACUAUUAUUAUUUGCAUAACAGUUUGGAGUUUUCAUGCAUAGAAAAGGUUUUGAUGUGAUCUUUUGUGUAUCUAUUUGCUCACUAAUAAAAAAGAACAAAGAAAGAGGUUGGGCUGGAUAUCCUCUGGUUCUUUUUUAGCACUUGGGUCCUAUAUGACUGGAGAAGGGCACAGAAGCUCCCAGACCAGCUCUGGUGAAGGCAGGCACAAGGGUUGCUGGGUGCCAGCUCUAGCCAAAGAGUAUUUAUCCUUGUGCAGUUUUGCUUUGUUUAUUUUUCCAGUGCUGAGCUUUGAACCCAGGGCCUUGUACAUGCAAGGCAAACGCUCCUCCACCAAGUUAUAUUUCCAGUCCUUUUCUUUGUCUGUCUCUCUGUCUCUCUCUCUCUCUCUCUCUCUCUCUCUCUCUCUCUCUCUCUCUCUCUCCUCUUUCUUUCUGACAGGGUCUUGUUUAUUUGCUCAGGCUGGGCUCAAACUUGGUGGUCCGCAGCCUGCUAAGUAACUGGGAUCACAGGCAUACGCUACUGUGCCGUGCAGAUUUUACUUUUUUUUUUUUUUUUUCACUGUACAAGGUGUGAUUGAAAAAGAUGGUGAGUAGUUAAAAAUUUUAAAAAUUAUUAUAGUAAAAGUUGCACUGCCAUUAAUCCUAAAAAUAUUCACCCUUGUUUGGAACAUUCUUGACUUUUUUUUUUUUUUUUUUUGGCCUUUUAAUUUUAUUAGUACAUGUUUGAAAUUCAGGUGGUUUAGAAUCAUCUUGGGGAGUGGUUACAUGUGCAUAUUAAGCUUCUUUUAAAAAAAAUCCUCUUCAUCCUCCUCCAGUUCUCCAUCCCCUUUCUUCUAUCUAUUAUUUGUCUUAGCUCAUGUUAUGGCAUCUAACGUUUACAUAAUUGGAGCUGUUAGGUCUUUAUUCCUCUCACUCACCCCUCCCCUCUUCUUUACUCCCCACCCCUGUACCCUUGCACCAGUUCCAGUUGCUAGGUAUCUGCUCCCUUGUUCCUUUUCUAUCCAUCUUUUUUUUUUUAUCUUCUUUGUACUUUGCCUCACUCAAGAGAUACUGUAUGAUAUUUAAGCUCAUGUGUCUGUUUAUUUCACUCCACAUGUUUUCCAGGUGCCAUCAAUUUUCCACAAAUGUCUCAAAUGCGUCAUUCUUUAUAGCUGAGUAGUAUGGCACUAUAUAUAAAUGCCACAUUUUCUUUAGGCAAUUAUCUGUUGAUGGACAUACAGGCUGCUUUUAGGACUUAAUUAUGUUGCUAUAAAUAUUGCUAUAAACAUGUACCACUGUAGUAUGAUGACUUAGUUCUUUAGGGAAGGUAUAUCUAGCCAAAGAAUAACUGGAUCGUAUGGAAUUUCUAAUUCCAAUUUUUUGAGAGAUCUCCACACUGAUUUCUAUAGUGGUUGUACUAGUUUGUAUUCCCGUUAACAAUGCAGAAGGGCUCCUUUGUCACCACAGCCAUGCAAGCAUUGCUAUUGUUUGAUUUCAUAAUGGUUGCCAUUCUUUCUGGAGUAAGAUGGAUCAUAGCACUAUUUUCAUUUCCAUUUCUGUAAUAGCCAGAGAUGUUGAAAUUUCUUCCUCCAUGAAGUGCCUGUUAAUUUCUAUUGCCCAUUUCCUAACUGGGUCUUAAUUUGAGGUGCUUUACGUUUUUUGAGUUCUUUGUAUAUUCUAUAUACUAGUUCCCUGUCUGAGGAGUAGCUGGAAAAAAAUUUUCCCAUUCGGUAAGUUGUCUGUUCACUUUACUGACUGAUUCUUUUGCUGAAGCUUUUUAGUCUGAUAUAAUCCCUUUGUUGAUUCUUUCUGUUAUUUCUUAUGCAGAUGAUGUUCUAUUUAGAAAACCCUUUUCUACACUGAUAUCUUCAACGAUUUUACCUAUUUUAUCUUACAGUAGGUUUAAUAUUUCUGUUUCAAUUUUAUAUACUUGAUCAAUUUUUAAAAAAUUAAUUUUAUUAGAACAUUUAUAUGCACAUACCAACAUUCAUUAUAUAAAAUUCAUACCAUACAUGAUAUAUUAUGAUUCUUAUUUCCCCUUCCUCUUCUGUCCCUUCAAUCCUUCUUCCUUUCAUUUACAAAACAUGUUUUCAUUUUUCUUCUAUACUCUUUUUUCCCUUUUCCUUUCCUUCCCAUUUCUCCUUCCCAGCUCUAUUUCCCUUCCCAUUUGAAUAUUUUCUUUCUAUUUUACAAUUUCUAUUAUAUAUUUAAUCUUUAUUUACAAUUUUGGUUUCUCACCUAGAGAAACUAUGUGAUAUUUGAACAAGUGUGCCUGAUAUAGUACAUAAAAAGUAUGUUCUCAAGUUGCACCCAUUUACCUAGAAAUGUCUCAUCUAUCCUUCUUCAUGGCUGAAUAGUACUCCAUUGCAUAAAAACAUCACACCUUUAUCCAUUCAUUGGUUGAUGAACAUUUAGGCUCUUUUCAAGUUUUAGCUACUAUCAACUGUGCUGCUACAAACAUGAGUGUGCAUAUACGGCUGUGUGGUGAUGCUUUUAAUUCUUUUGGGAAGAUAUCAACAAAGGAUAUAUCUGGGUCAAAUGGAAUGUCUAGUUUUAAUUUUUUGAGGUAUUUCCACAAUGGUUGCACCAGUCUACACUCCCACCAACAGUGGAGAAGUGUUCCUUUUUCCCCGCAUCCCCACCAGUAUUUGUUAUUGGUUGAUGUCUUGAGACCAGUCAUUGUGGAGUGAGAUAGAAUAUUAGUGUUACAAUUUGCAUCUCUUGAAUGACCAAUGAUGAUGAACAUUUUUUCAUAUAUUUAUUUGCCAUUUCUACUUCUUCAAGUGAGAAGUGUCUUCAUCUCAGAUGCCUAUUUUUGGAUUAGCUUUUUAAAUUGAGGGAAUCUGAUGUUUUUAAGUUCUUUUUUCUAGAUAUGAGUCCUUCCUCUGAAGAACACUUGGCAAAAAUUUUCCCCACUCUGUAUGCUCUCUAUUCACUCUGUUGGUAAUUUCUUUUGCUGUGCAAAAGCUUUUUGAUAAAAUGAGAUCCCAGUUGUUGAUUCUUUGUGAUGCUUUCUGUGUGAUUGGAGUUUUGUUCAUGAAGUCUUUGCCUGCACCUGUCUUUAAGAGUUCUACCUCUUCUCUCUUCCAUAAGAAUUUAGCAUUUCUGUUUUAAUAUUUAGAUCUUUGAUCCAUUUUUAUUAUUAAGUUUAUUUGUGUAAUUUAGAUUUACUUAAUAAUCACAUUCACCAAAGGGAAUCUGGACCUGCACAUGCUAUACCUUAAUUUUGCUUUUUCCCCUCAUUCCCCUCCCCUUCCUAUGACCUCUCUUCCUCUCAUUAUUUGCAUAACUUUGUUUCCAUUUUAUCCUUCUUUUCUCAUUUUUUUCUUUGAUCCAGUUUGAUUUUACUUUAGUGCAUGCAAGAGAUAUGGGUCUGGUUUUAGCCUUUGGCAUGUGGGAAGAUAGUUUUUCCAGUAACAAUUAAAGAGUCUAUCUUUCUUCCAGUGAAUGUAUUUGGCCCCUUUGUUGAAGAUAAGCUGGCUGAGAAGCUGUUUGAAGUUGUUUCUGCAUCUUCUAUUCUGUUCCAUUGACCUUUGGGUCUAUUUUUUCCAGUACCAUACUGUUUUAUCACUGUAGCUUUGUAGUAUAAUUUCAAUCCAGGGAUUGUGAUUCCUCUGCCUUGCCUUUGUUGCUCAGCAUCACUUUUGUGAUCCUAGGUGUCUUCUGAUUCCAAAUGAAUUUUAAGAUUGUUUUCUUUAAUUCUGUGAGGUAUGAUAUUGACAUUUUGAUUGGGAUUUCAUUAAACCUGUCUAACAAUUUUGGAAGUAUGGCCAAUUUUCUAUAUUCGUUCAUCCUAUACAAGAAUAAGGGAUAUCUUCUUAUAUUCUGAUAUUCUCUUUGAUCUCCUUUUUCAGAGUACUGUUGUUUCCAAAAUAAAGAUAUUUUAUUUCCUUCAUUGGGUUGAUCUCCUACAUUAGGUUAUUAAAAACAUUUUAUUUUUUUGGAUGCUAUUGUGAAAUAUGUUGUUUCCCUAAUUUUUCUCUCAGUGGAUUUGUUAUUUGUGUACAGAAGUGCUAUUGAUGUUUGAGGGUUAACUUUGUAUCCACCUAUGCUACUAAAUUUGGUUAUUAAGUCUAGGAGUCUUUUCCUGGAAUUUUUAGGAUUUUAUAUGUAGAGUAUCAUGUAAUUUACAAAUAAUGAUAACUUCUUUCUUUCCUACCCACAUUUCUUUUAUUUCCUUUUCUUGUCUAAUUGCUCUCAUUAAUGUUCCAAGAAUUAUAUUGAAUAAGGGUGGUGAUGGUGUGUGCCCUUUUCUUGUUCUUGAUUUUACAGUGAAAGCUUUCAAUUUUUGACCAUUUAGUACAAUGUUAGAUGUUGAUUUGUCAUAAAUAGUUUUUAUCAGAUUGAAAUAAAGACCAUAUAUUCCAAUUUUCUUAUUUUUUAAAAAGCAUGAAUAUAUGUUGGAGUUUAUCAAAUAAUUUUCCUGCAUUUACUGAGGUGCUCAUAUGGUUUUUGUCUUUGGCUCUGUUAAUAGGGUGUAUUAUGUUUAUUGAUUUGCACAUAUCAAAUCAUCCCUGCAUCACUGGGAUGAAUCUUAUUUGCUCAUAGUAUAUAAUUUCCUUGAUGGUUUGCUAAAUUCUAUUUGCCAGUAUCUAAUAGAAAAUUUUUGAGUCUAUGUUAUUUAGGGAGAUUUGUGUGUAGCUUUAUUUUUUGGAUCAAUCUUUCUCUAGUUUUGGGAUCAGCACAAUACUUUAUUCCAGGAAUGAGUUUUGGAGUAUUGCUUCCACUUCAAUUUCAGUAAAGAGUUUGGGGAGUAGUAGAAUUAGACCUUUUCUAAAUGUCUUGUAGAAUUUAUCAGCAAAUCCAUCAGGAGCUUAGGUUUUCUUUGUUGGUAGAUUUUUAAUUACAUCUUCAUUUUUUGGGUGACAUUGGGUUUUAAGAAUCUUUAUAUCUUCCUGAUUCAGCUUGAGUAAUUCAUCUGUAUCUAGGAAUCUGCCUAUUUCUGUAUUUUCUUGAAGUAGUAUUAAUAAUCUUCCAGAUUUCUGCAGAACUUGUGGUAUUUUCACCCUUUUUAUUCCUUAAUUGCAUGGAUUUGAGUCUUUUCUGCCCUUUUUUGACAAGUUUGGCUAAUGGUUUGUCAACUGUAUUUAAUCUGUCAAAGGACAAAUACUUCAAUUCAUUGAUUUUUUGAAUUAUUUUUAAUCUCCAUUGCAUUAAUUUCUGCUCUGAUCUUUAUAAUUCCCUCCCUCAUAUGAGCUUUGGCCUUGACUUGCUUUUUUUCUUCUAGCAGCUUGGGUUCAAAAUUAGAUUAUUAUCUUGAGCUCAUUCUUUUUUUAAUGUAGGAAUUUACCACUAUAAAUUUCCCUUAAAAGGCAGUUUUCUCUGUGUCCCGUAAGUUCCUGUAUGUUGCAUCAGCAUUAUCAUUUAGUUGUAGAAGCUGUAUGAUUUCUUCUUUUAUUUGAUUUGUGACCUACUAGUUGUUUGGGAAGGUGUUACUGAAUUUUCAAGUGUGUAUAUAACUUUGUGAUUUCUUUUGCUGUUGAUUUCCAUUUUCACUGCAACUGUCAGAUAACAUGCAUGAGAUAAUUUCAAUUCCUUUGCAUUUACUUAAGCAUGUUCUACAAGCUAGCAUAUGGUUUAUUUUGGAAAGCAUCACAUAUGCAGUUGAAAAGAAUGUGUAUUCUGAUGUUGUAUAGUGGAAUACCUUGUAGACAUCUGUUAGGUUCAGUUGCUCAAAAUUUUGGUAAAUUCUGAUAUUUCUUUGUUGAUUUUUGUGUGUUUAUCUCUCUAUUUAUGACAGUGGGAUAUUGAGUUCCCCCAUUACAAUUCUAUUAUUGAUUUUUUAAUUUUUCAUGACCAUUAAUAUUUUAUAAAGUUGGGUGCACCGGUAUUUGCUGCAUAUAUAUUUAUGAUUUUUACCUUUUCCUCUUGGGUUGUUCUCUUACAAGGGUGUAGUGACAUUCUUUGUCACUCUUGAUCACUUCUAGCUUGAAAUGCACUUUGUCUGCAAAAAGAAUAGCUACUCCACCUUUUUUUCCAGAUUUCUGUCACGUGGAGUACGUUUUCCAUUCUUUGACUUUCAGUCUACUGAUUUCUGUUUGGUUCACAUGUGUACUUGUAUGCAGCAUAUUGUUGGAUCUUGUUUUUUACUGCAUUCUGCCAACCUGCUUCCUUCAGUUGGUGAAUUGAGACCACUUAUACUGAUGGUUACAACUGCUAUGUAUUGACUUAUCCUUGUCGUGCUAUUUACCUGUUGUUAUUGCUCUUAUUUCCCCUUUGCUUAAUUGCUUGCCUUGCCUGGUGGAUUCAUUCUGUUGGGCUUCACAGAGUUAUAAUCCUUGUUAUCUCUUUCUGGAAUAAUCUUUAGAACAUUUUGGAUUACUGAUUCGGUGUUCAUGAGUUUAUUCAAGUGUUCUUUGUUAUGGAAGAAUCUUAUAUCUCUAUCAACUUUGAAAGAUAGUUUUCAAGGUAUAUCAGUCUGGAUUGGAGAUUGUUUGCUUUUAGGGUUUGAAAUACUUUACUCCAAGUACUUCUUGACUGGAUGGUUUGUGUUGAGAAGUCUGCCAUGAUUGUCAUGGAUUUUCCUUUAUAAGUGGUUAGUUUCUUUUCUGUUAAAACUUGUUAAUACUCUGCUUUGUACUGAAUUUCUGGAAUCCUGUGUACAACAUGCUGUGGGGUAGAUUUUUUUUUUACCAUGGCUAAUUAGCAUUCAACGUACCUCACUUAUGUGUAUAUCAAAUUCUUUGCCCAUUCCUGGAAAAUUUCAGCCAUUCUUUCUGUGAACAGUCUUUUUAUGUCACAUGCUGUAGCUCAUGCUUUUUCCACUAACUCUGAUCAGUCUUAGGUAAUUCUUUGUAUCAUUAUCAGCUGUUUUAUUGAUUUUCCAUGGUCCUUCGCUAUUUUAAAGAAGUCUUUCUUUUCAUUAUUGAUAUUGAUAAUCCUGUCUUCUAGAUCCGAUAUUUUGUCCUCAUAUUAAUUCUGCUGUAUAUACUUUCAAUAGAAUUUUUAAUCUUCUGGAUAUCCGAUUGAUCUGUUUCAUGGAUCUCAUUUUUCUUCCUGUGUUGGGCAUUACGAUUUCUAUUAUUUUCAUAAGAUUUCUAUUUUUUUCCUCUUUAGCAUAUCUAGAGUCCGUAAUCAUGCCUUUUACUGUGGUCAUCAUUUCUGUAGCUCUCUGAGAAAUUGUUUAAGAUUUAUUUUUUUCUAGAGCCUUACUCAUCUGUUUUGUUACUUAGAGAAUACAGGUGAGUAGCUUUCAAACUGCCCCACCUCAUCACUCUCUGUGUUUGUAUUUGAUCAGCUGAAAGUAUAGAGUUUUAUUUUGCUUCUGUGUCUUAUUUUCUACUUUUUAAAAGUUUAAUUCUUAGGUUGAUACUUGCAAGUUGUUUAUAAUAGGUAUCUUUAUUGCUGGUAUAGAGACUCUCAGAAAAUAACUACUUCUCAGGGAUGUCUUCCAAGUGUAUCUGGCUUUUGUGUUUUAAACCUGUUGAGGCCCGGCUUCUUCACUUUAUUGGGAAAGGAAAAUUGUUGCCUGGUUAGCCUCGCCCCUAUUUAGUUCUUUGGCACCAGCCUAGCCUGUGUUAUUGUUUAUGAACCACAGAAAACCUCAGUCUUAGCAUACAAGAAAGAACAACUGAUUAGAACCAUUAUGUCACAUCAGUUAAAAUAGUGUGGUCAGUAAUAACAUAGGAUCAAACACACACUAGAAAAUGAUAAAUUGUGCUUAUUAUUAAUUUGCUACCUUAAUCUUAUGAACAGACUUUUAGUUAUACAACCAAAUCUAAAACAAACCAGAAAGUAUGUACAGUAAGUAUCCCCACAAUAUGUAAUCUUAUCUUCAGGGGAGAAAAUUUAAAAGAGGUAGGGGAAAGUAGAGAAAUAGAAAAAGCAAAAGGGGUUAGAAGCAUAGCUGAGGGACAAAGGAAGAUUAGGCAAGCUUUGAGAACUUGUGAAGAAUAAGGAAAGAAAGAAUGAAAAAAUGGAAACGAGAACAGAACUAAACAUAUAAAACACUAGAAACAAAUGUUCUCACUCGUAUUAAAACUAAUCAAGAAAAGGUGAAAAAAUAGAAAAAUUAAAAAUGUAAAGAUUUUAAAAAUUAAAUAAAAUAGCAAAAAAAAAAAAAAAAGAAGAAAAGCAGAAAAAAGUAUUUGCUUCAGGGCAUGUUUCUGCUGUCACUGGUAGACAGAAGGGGCAGACAGAGCCCAGAUCCAGGUUGAUUGCUCCCAGCAAGCCAGGGGUAGAAUUAUGGCAGUGGUGGAUAAGCCUAGCAUGCCUAGCUUUCACUUCCGCUGAAGUUCAAGCUUUUUCUGGUUUCUGAUUGUCAGGCUAGGAUCCCUGCAGGGGUCCAAGUUACUCCUCAGUUUUAACUCCAGUCCCUGCCCUAUGCUGGCUAUAACUUGGUUACACCUCACUCUGGAAUUUAGAGCCACUAGAUGGAGCCAACCCGCAGAUGCUCUGAGUUCUGACUUCUGCUGGCUCCUUCCCAAAAUGGCUACCUGCCAACUGUCCUCUUCUGGGAGAAGCAUCUGAAUACAAAUAACCCACCAGCUACUGAAGUCCAUAGCAUCCACUCAUCUGUUCCACUGGUGUCUUUCUCUGGGGGGGCCUCUGGAGUUAUCAGUAGUCACUAUGCCUCUGCAGACUAGAGCUGUCUCUCCUAUGCCACAAACUGGAGCUCAGGUUGAAAGUGACACUUGCCACCACCCUCCUCUGUGUUAUGGUACCUCUUUUUACUCUCUCUCUCUGGGCUCUAAUUCUCAGUCUAGAUCCUUGCAGGACCCUACGGAGACACUUCUUUCCUCUUUCUCUUCCUCAUGUUGCUGUAUUCCAGCAUCUGGAUUCCAAAUAUUGGAGUUGUUUUUCUGUUGCUCACCAUUCUGCCAUCUUCCUGAAAAUAUCUUUGUUUCAUUUUGAUUUUAAUUUAGUAUAUGGUGAGAGAUAAGGGUCUAGUUUCAUUGUUCUAUAAACAGAUAACCAGUUGUGCCAAUGCUACCUGUUGAAUAUGGCUACCUUUCCUCCAAAUGUGCCUUUGGACUGUUUAUCAAAGAUUAAAUAGUUGAAUGUAUUUAAGGAGGUUGCUGUACCCUCAGGUCUGUUCCAUAAUCCAUUUACUUAUUUCUGUUCCAGUAUCAUGCCAUUUUUAUUGCUAUUGCUUUGUAGUAUACAUUGAAGUCUGGUGUUGCUAUGCCAUCUGCUUUGCUCUUAUUGUUCAAAACUACUUUUACUAUUUUGAGUCUCGUGGUUUCAUAUGAAUUUUAGGAUUGUUUUCUCUAAGUCUGUAAAGUAUGCUGUUGAUAUUUUGACUGGGACUACACUGAAUCUGUGUAACAGUUUUAGAAGCAUGACCAUUUUGAUAAUGUUUGUUCUGCCUAUCCAGGAGGAAGGGAUAUCAUUCUAUUUUCUGAUGUCCUCUUCAAUCUCCUUCUUCAGAGUACUGUAUUUUUCUUCAUAGAGGCCUUUCACUUCCUUGGUUAGGUUAAUUCCUAUAUAUCUCAUUUUUAUUGAAGCAAAUGUGAAUCCUGUUGUAUUAAUAACUUACUUUUCAUUCCAUUCAUUGUUGAUGUACACAAAUGCUAGUGAUUUUUGUGUGUCAAUCUUGUACAUUGUUACUUAUUUGGUGAAGUUGGUUAUUAAUUCUAAAGGUUUUUUUUUGGUAGAGUUCUUUGAAUCUUCUGUGUAGAGUAUCAUACGACAAAUAAUAAUUUUAAUUCUACCUUCCCUCUAAAUAGCCUUUUCAUUUCUUUUUCUGGUGUAAUUGCUCUGGCUAAUAUUUCAAGUACCUUGUUGGGUAGAAGAGAUCAUAGUGAGCCUUAUUAUCUUGUUCCUGAAUUUAGGAAGGAAUGUUUUUAGUUUUUCACCACUUAGAAUAAUGUAUCAUAAAUACAUGGUUUUUUAAAGGAUCUUUAUAUGGAUGUUGGAUUUUGUUGAAAGCCUUUUCAGUAUCUAUUGAGAUGAUCAUGUGGUUCUCACCUUGUUCCUGUUUAAGUGAUGCAUUACAUUUAUUGACUUAUAUAUGUUGAACCAUCCUUGCACCCCUGGUAUAAAACUUACUUGAUCAUGAUGUAUCAUUUUUUUGAUAAUGUGCUGCAUUCUAUUUGCUAAUGUUUUUGAGAAUUUUUGCAUCUAUGUUCAGUAAAAAGAUUAACCUACAAAUCUCUUUUUCAGUGGAGUAUUUAUAUAGUUUUAGAACCAGGGUAAUCCUGGCUUCCACAGAUAAAUUUGGGAGCACUUCAUCCCUUUCAAUUUCUUUGAAGAGCUGUGAACUAUAUUUACAAUAUAGUUUAUAGUUACAAUCUAACACCCUUAAUUUUGCAAUGAAUCAUCAGGUCCUGGAUUUCUCUUAGUCAGUAGAUUCUAUUUAUUUAUUUAUUUGGUACUAGGGAUUGAACUCAUGACUUUGCGUUUGUCAAGCAGGUGUUUGUGCCACUGAGCUGAAUCCCCAGCCCUAUUUAUUUAUAUUUUAAACAGAAUAAAACCAAGCAAAAUAAAACAGAAUAAAGCCAAUCAAAACAAACCAUAUAAGUGACGCAGGACUGCAAAAUAAUAGGAAAUCAACAAUGGACACCAUAAUGCCUCCUUCCAUUUUCAAAAUAGCUGCAGAUACCUUUAGAAAUACAAAAUAAGAGAACAGAAUAGAACCAAUAAAAACAAAAUAACAAAUGCAAUACAGGACUUCAAAACAAGACAAUAGUAAAUUCAAAGUAGAUUUUUUAAUAACUGAGUUAAUGUCAUUGAUUGUUAAUGAGUUGUUAAACAUAUUCAUGUUUUUUUUGAGCUAUUUUUGGUGGUUUGUAUGGGUGUAGGAAUCUGUCUAUUUCUUCAAAAUUUACUAAUUUCUUGAAAUAUAAUUUUUCAAGAUAGUUACUGUCUUCUGGGUUUCAACACUGUUGUGAUUCACCCUUUUCACUUCCAAUUUGCAUUGAUGUGAGUCUUUUCUCUUUUGGGGAGUCUUGCUAAGGACUUACCUAUUUUACUUACUGGUAUGAAGAAUCAGGUCUUUGAUGCACUGAUUUUGAAAGUUUUUUUUAGUCUCAAUUUCGUUGAUUUAUGCUCUUAUCUUUAUAAUUUCCUUCCUUAAUUUUGGUUGAGGGCUGGUUUGUUGUUAUUUCUUAAGAUGGUAAAAUUUCUUAUAUUUCUAUAGAUUUCUAUAACUUCUUAAAAUUUAUUAUAAAAUUUUGGUUUGCUGUGUUUUCCUAAAUGUGACUGCUGACUGUGAUGGCUUUUCCUCUUAGAACUGCUUUCAUAGUGUCCCAGAAGUUUUGACAAGUUGUACCAUCAUUGUCAUUAACUUCCAGAAAUUUUAAAAUUUCUUCUGUGACCCAUGGGUUGUUAAUAUGAGUAUGUUGUUGAUUUUACAGAACUUUGCCUUUUCCAAAAUUUCUUCUGUCAUUGGUUUCUAUUUUCAUUGCACAGUGGUCUGACAAUACACAUGGGGUGAUUUCAGUUCAUCUAUAUAUACUUUAGUAGGCCUUGUGAACUACUAUGUGAUCUAUUUUGGGAAAAGUACAGUGUGCUGCUAAAAAGACUCUCCUCUGUUGGAGAGGAGUGGAAUAUUCUUUACAUAUCCAUUACUUCUAUAUAUUUGAGGAUGUGGUUUAGCUCUGAAAUUUCUUUACCAGUUUUUUGUUUAGUUGAUUUGUCACUUUGUGAAAGUGGGAUGUUAAAAUCCCCUACUAUGGUUGUGUUAAUGUUUACUCAGUCUUUUAGUUUCAGCAGUUUUUGUUUUAUGAAGCCAGUUGCCCCAGUAUUCAGUGCAUAUAUUUAUCAAUGUUAUCUCUUCCUGUCCUUUGUUCCUUUAACUAGUAUGUAAUGAUGUUCUUUGUCUCUUCUAAUUAGUUUUAACUGAAGUUUACCAUGUCUGAUAUUAGAAUUGCUAGCCCUGCUUGUUUUGGGGAUCCUGGGAAGUGAAAUGUUGCUUUCUAUCUUUUAGUUUUUAGUCUAUAAAUAUCUUUUUGGAUUAGAUGAGUUUCUUGGAUGCAGCUAACUGUUGGACUAUGUUUUUUGAUCCAGUUUGCCAGUCUGUCUUUUGAUUGAAGCUGUUAACAUUAAGAGAUAUUACUGAGAUGUGUUGGUUAUUUACCAUCACUGCCUUCUUUAUUAUGGUGUAUUGUUUUGCUUUUCUUAACGUUUUUUUGUUGCUGCUUAUCCACUGACCUCACUAGUUUCCUCUGUAUUUUUAGCUGUGUCCAAUUUGUUGUUUCUGUUGAGAAUUAUUGAAUAUUUUCACUUGAUCUAGUUUAAUACUCAGAUAUCUUCAGACCUUAUCUUUUUCAUGAAAAUAGCUUGUAUCUUCAUCCAUUUUGAAGUAUAGCUUUGCUGGUUAAUUUUGGUGGGAAGCUAUUUAUGGUUAGGGCUUGAGUCCUUCACUUCAAGCUCUUCUGGCCUUCAGAGUUUGUGCAGAGAAGUCUGCUAUGAUUCUAACUGCUUUAUAUGUGAUCUUUUGUUUUUCUCUGGAUGCCUUUGAAAUUUUGGAAUUUUUUGCUAUGUAUCUGUGAAUUUUAUAAGGAUAUGCCUUGGUGAAUUUCUUUUUGUGUUUCUUUUGUCAAUUUCGUAAUUGUUUUCUGUUCUGUAUGAACCACUUACAUUUUAAGCUCUUUUCUUGCAGUUGGGACAUUUUGUUUCAUAAAUUCUAUAAGCAUGUUAGUGAGUUCAUCUGUGCUAGCCUCUAGGUUUUCUCGAACUCAAUAGUUUUCUUGUCCUCUAGUAGCUGCUGGAUAUUCUUUUCUUUUCUUUCUAGCUUCUUUGAAUUUUAUCAUGAUUUAUUAUUUGGUCCUCAAUAUCAGACAUUUUGCCCUCAAUAUCAGAUAUUUUGUUUUCAUAUUGGUUAUUACUGUAAUGUAUGAAUUCUAUGCUUUUUUAUUUCAGGUAUUUCUGUCUGAUAUGUUUUCAAGGAUUCCACAUCCUUGUUGAAUUUGUUCUUCAAAUUUUGAACUGUUUUGGUUAGCUUGUCCAAUUUUUUACUUAUUUCCCUGAAGUUCACUGUGGAUGUAUUAAGUGUAAUUGCUGUACAUUUGUUAUUCAUUUCCUCUUUGAAAUUAUUUGCUUAAAUUAUCCCUUCUAAUAACAUUUCAUAGAUUUCUGUUACCUGAUUUGUUUUCUUUUCUCUUUGUGACCCCUUGCUCUGCCUUGGAGGAGUUCUCCUACUUAUAUCUGUAUAUAUUUUUGUGUAUAUAUAUGUACCACAAAAAUGUGAUACAAAUAUAUGGUACUUCAGGUUGAGACUAGUGACAUAAGGAGAGUUUGUGGCUAAUGUAGAGAUUUUCAGUAGGAUGUUACAUGGGAAUGAUGUUCAUGGGAAUGAAACAAUUUUCAGCUUUCUAUGCCCAGUGCUAGUAUGUACUCUUUUUAUUAUUUACUUUAAGUGAUUUCAACUCUGUCUUUAUUUUGAUGAAAGAAUUCCUUCUAUUUAUAACAUUAUUCACAGAUUAAAACUUAAACAACUACAUGAUAGCCCUUGCAAUUACUCUUCACCGUUUUGUCUAUUCUCUGUGCACACUAUGACUGCUUAUUAUUUGCUGUUGCUCUGCAGUGUGGUAGGUGAGGUGGGGGUGGGGAGAAUGGAUGGUGCUUGGGUGAGUAGUAUUAGGACUAAGGGAGAGGCUUGAAAGGGAGACAAGUGGUAAAUUAGAAUAAAAGAUUGAUGUGAUUUUAUUGAAGUAUUUUAGUUCAGUUGAAAGUUUAGUAUUCAGUGUUUUCAGAGGAUAUUUCACAGGGGCAAGGGUGUGAUAUGAGGGAAAAGAGGUUCACUUUGUGAUUGAGAAAAACUAUGUGAUUUCAGAACUUAUUUUUUUUCAGGACUUAUAAAGAGGACAAUAAUAAGCUAGUCAGGAUAUGGAAAAGUCAAAGGUUUAGGAUGAGGAGGACUGAGGGAUUAUACUAAUGAAGAUAAGUGACUGUCAAGGAGUUAAGAGCGGUCAAUUUAAAAACUUGGGAGGUAGAGUUUAUAUAUUUGAGAAAAUAAUAAAGAUGUAUGUUAAUAAUAUUGUCUCAGGGGUUUGAGGUAAAGAAACUAGAUAAAGAGCUGAGGGAAAGAACCUAGAAUCCUGUUAAGUCAGAGCCAAUGAAAGAAUAUACAAAAGUAGUCACCUAGUAUACAGAAGAACCCAUAAAAGAAUAUAACACAACCUUAUGUUACUAAAUAACUCAAGAAACAUAAAAAAAUUAAACUAAUAUGAUGUUCAGUGGGAACAGAAAUUAGAUAUUCCAAUGAGAGAGACCCUGCAUAUGUGAUUCCCGAUCAGCCUCUUUGCCCGAGAGCCUGAGUGCUCUCACCCCCAUUACUCCUCUGAUCCCUCCACUGCAAAAUCAAAGUUAAUUCAGACUCAGGACCCCUGGCUGCCAGGUUUCAGGGAUUCUUACAGAGUCUGAUCCAGUCUGAGUUCUUGGGUUAGGAUUGCUUGCUGUCCCUCUCUCUGGGUGUGAUGGUAGAUUCAGCAGACAAAUUCACCGGUACUGAAUUGUCCACUGAGUCAGGAUUAUUCCUAUGCAACCAGUUCAACUACAACACUCACAGGCUCAUCCAUUAUGGUGGUAUCUGUAAGAAGUAGUUGGGGAAAAAAACGUUCAUGAGGACCCUGUUUUUGGUCUCCCUUUACCGCUGGAAACAUAAUGCCAAUUGAGCCUUCAAUGCUGUGUAACCCAGGCUGAAACUGGCAUCUGACUGCUGGAACCAAGCUAGUGAUCACCAGUCCCUGUCUUUCGGUGAGAACUCCCACCCCAAAAAUCUGUUCUCCAAUUGCUGGCAGGCCCCUGUGGCUGUCCUUCCUUCAUCCACUGAGAACGUGGACAGUGUGAAGCAGCCAAGGGGCUGUUCUAGGACUGAGGUUCAAACACCCAGCCUUUCCUCACAAUGGCUCUUGCAUCAUGGGAUUGUGUCCCCUGGUGCUUGUACCAUGGUCGCUCACCAACUGUUAAUUUGGAGGACCACCAGGGAAGCAGCAUCUUGCAUCCUUCCCACUGUCACCAGCUGCGUAAGAUUCUGAUGGUCCUGAUCAGUUCUCCAUGAGUGGAAAAGUUAUUAGUUUCACUUUGCCUCUCAGCUUGUAGUUUCUCUUCUGUGGCAGGGGCAACCUCUUCUAUAACACUGAAUCAUAUUUUCUUCUCUUUCUGUUCCCUCAUGUUUCCUGUGUACCCUGCCCUCUUCGAGCCACUGACCCUCCAGAGUCCAGAUGCUUUGUCCUGCAGAAGCCACAUGCUGGCACUCACUGCUCACCACCUCGUCUCUCCUUCUUGCCAUUUUGAAGCCGUUCUGGAAGUCUGCUUUCACAAGCGUCUGCACUGUCACGGUUGUGAUGUUCUGAAUUGAUUCAAAACUUUACCUCUCAUGGUUAUUUUGCUUUUGGGAAAGAGUCAAAGAUCUCAUAGCGCCAGAUAAGGCGAAUAAGGUUGCUCAGGACACAUUGUGAUGCUUUAACAAGCCUGUCUUUCCGUUGGAUGACACUUGGCAAGAGCAUUGAUCAAAUCUUUGAUCAUAUCUCAGAAAGACAUGAGAGGAAAUUUCCAGAACUGCUCCAGAGAGUGGUGAGAAUGAUGGGAUGAAUGCACUGGGGGAGGUAUUUUGAGGGAGAUUAAUAGCAGUGUAUCUUCUACUGUAAUAUUUUUUUAAAAAACUUAAACCUGUAUUGUAUAUUUUUAUUACACCUCAUACAGCUAAUAUAUAUGUGUUAUAGAAAACAAGAGAGAAUGGAUACGUAAAGAUGAAAACAAAAUAAUCAUCCUGACUCCACCCUCUAGAACUUUGUAAUGGAAGAGAUAUCCAUUUGUGCUAUUUUAUAUCCCCAUGUACAGUCUCUGAAAGAGCAGUUUACCUUACUCUGUCAAAAUCCUCCAAAGGGUCCCAUGUUGGUACCAUAAUAGAGGUAUCACAUAGCAAAUGCAUUUUAAGCAGUGAUUCCAGUAAUACAAUUUGUAACAGCCAGAUCUUGGAAGCAACAUAAAUGUCCAUCAUCUGAGGAAUGAAUAAAAAAGAUAUGGUACUUUUGUACAGUGGAGUACUACUCAGCUAAACAGAAUGAUUGCAUUGAGAUUUUUAUAGGUAAAUGGAUGCAACUUGAAACCAUACUCAUAAAUGAAAUAAAUCAAACUCAUGUAUGUAAAUACCAUAUUGUCUCCCUAAUGUAAGAAAUGGUGAGAGUACAUAAGAUACAAAAUCCUCAAUAAAUAUAGUGAAAGGGUAAGAAUCUGCUCAAAGGGGGAAAAUAAUAUCUCAGGGAAAAGGAGGAAAAAAUAAAAAGGAAGGGAAAAGAAAAAUUAAAUUUAUAUAAACACACAAGAUAGCUAAGAUGACUGUGCUAUAAAUUCUAUUAGUUCUUGGAACAAAAUAGUUAACAAUCAUAAGAUUGGAUCAGUUUUGCAUGUUUGUGUCUGGUGAUCUGAAGAACUCUUUUGAAGAUCAUUAUGUAAAAUAACAACCUUAGUUUCAUUCCUAUGACUUUGUUUUGAAGUUGUAUAUCAUCAUUGUUUUGGGUUCCUUGCUAUUUAUUAUUAUUUGUUAUUUAUUUGUCUUUUUUGUUUCUGUGUUUUUCCAGUAAUUUGUUUUGUUUUGUUUUUCCCUCUAAUGCAGAAAGGAUAGAUGUACAUGUAGAGGCUUAUACAAGCCUAGAACUUUUCCUAAACAAUAUAUUAAAAUUCAUUUGUAUUGUACAUGAUGAUAUGAACAGCUACUUUGAAGAAAAACAGACUGUGGUAUCCAUCACUGAUUUCCUAUCGUCAUACUGUGAAAUCUGGUAAUGAUUUUAUUCUUUGUUCAGGGUGUUUUUAGUCUGUUUUGUAUUAUUUAAUUUCAACAUACCUGAAGGUAUGAACAGCUAUUUUGAAGAGAACAAGAGACAUUACAUUAACCAUUGUUGAUCUUCCUAUUGUCUGGUUUUGAAAGUCUGUAAUGCCUUCAUUAUUCUGUUUUGACCAAUUUAUACUGUUUUGUUUUGUAUGAAUUCAUUGUGUAUGAAGAUAUAGAUAACUAUUUAGAAGAAAACAAGAGACAUUAUGGUAGCCACUGUAGACCUCCUGUUGUCUUACUUUGAAAUUUGUGUCACUUUCAUUAUUUUCUUCUGGUCUGCUUUGUUCUGUUUUUGUUUUACCCUCUUUAAAAUAAAAAAGCAAUAAAUUUAAUCUGAAAUUUUUUUAAAAAAUAAGCUUUAAAAGGGUUGUGAUUAAUAAAAGUCCACUAAAAUAAUUCCUAUAAUAAGUAAAGAUAGAAAUUAAGCAUUUAGAUUUUAAAAAUUUCACUCCCUAGACUUGAUUUCCUUUCGCAUAACUCCCUGUCAAAUUCAGAAUAAAACACAAAACUUUGCCAGAGAAACUCAGAAUAUAAUUUAGCGUUAAAAGUCUUUGUCACCAAAUCCUGAAUUCUGUCCUCCACAGUCUCAAAUUUCUUUCCUUUCACUACCACUUCACAGAAUCUUGAGAAUAAGUGAGGUGGGGUCCAGUUCUAGGCUGAAAGUGUCCACUUUUAGAACGCAGAAUCAUUUAUUCCAGACUGACAGAGAGCAGGAGGAAAGUAGGAUAAGCUUGGCUCAGACAGAGAAUAGUUACUCCAAGUACCCCUGGCGCAUUUGAAUCUGCUGCUGCCCAGAUUUCUUGGGUUUAAUUUUGCAUUCAGAGCAUAAGAGGACUGCACAUAAAAACCUGAAGAUCUGUGUUCACUCAACCCUCUUAAGACCUUGGAGCACUUUCAAUAUUUCUUCAGUCACAUCAGAUGAAGAGAGCGGGCAGAAAGAGGCCUUCUCCUCUACUCUUCACAAAGCCCUGAGUGGUGUUGGCUGUCCAUGCUCCAGGCACUCAGUGACCAUGUCCAGCAGAAAGGCAGAUGGCCUGGUGCCUGCACAGCAGCUCCAGAGAGGCACAGGCAUGGUGGAGUCCUACAUCUCAGGGGAUUCCAACAGUGUCCCAGUUUAUAGCAGUAUGGUUGUAUCUGCAGACACAAUUGUAUUCUACAGAACCAAGAAGCACAAAAAAAUGGUAUCUUUCAUGAUUAUCACCAAGUACUUAUGAGAUACAACCUGAGGGAAGUGUGUGUGUGUGUGUGUGUGUGUGUGUGUGUGUGUGUGUAGGAGGGCAAACUCUAGAGAGGACUCCAUUUCAGAUAUCUCCCUCCCUCUUUUCUAAAACUAUUCUUAAAACUUGUUACUAAAGUGAUAAGUCAUGGUCCUUUCUAAUCUAUUUGACUAAAUGACUCCUAGACCAGUUUUCCUCUUACUUCCCAUGAUAUUUGUAUUAAAUUUAAGCAUCUCUAUUUCCAACUCCAUAGUUUCUAGGCUAAAAAUAAUGUUUAUGAUGUAAAGUCACUAGGAGGAUUAAACAAUAUAAUAGUUGUUAAGAGCUAAGAAUGAUGCUGAGCACACAGGAAGCACUCUUCUGUAUUUCUAUAGUAACUCUGAUAUGAUUCGUGUCUAAAUUCACCUCCCAAAUGACCUCAUUUUCUGCUCCAUGUGUCAUGAGAGAGAUGGAGGCUUCAGCUGAGAUUCACUACUUACUAGCUGUGUGUCACUGGAUAAGUUAACUUCUUGGCAAUUUGAAUUAAUUACACAAAUAUGGAACACACUACAUGCCAGGCACUACAGGCCCAGGAAUAAACAGCUGGAAUGUGGCCCCUGCCUGGAAAACACAUAAUACCUGAGCAGGAAGGGACAGACAACUAAAUAAGUGACUCUAGUGAAGAGCUGUAAGGAUAUUAUUAGAUGACAACUUACUCAACUUGAGUUGGGUCAAUAGUAAGUAGAUUAAUCAAGAGUCACUAUAAUAAAAACAUUGUCUACAUGCCUUAAAUGGUCUAUUUCAAUUUGAAGCAGAGUAGGGGAUACCAGAAAACAGGGAGGAGGAGGGAAAAGUGAUUACACUGGAGUGAACACAGGGUGUUCUCCCAGGGUGAUGAAAAAUUUGAAACUGGAGAGAGAUGAUAGUCGCUUAAUACUGUAAGUGUGCUGAAUAACAUUGAAUUGUAUUCUUUCAAAUAGGAUUGUAUGUGAAUUUUACUUCAACUAAAAGUAUAAAUUUGCAUUAUUUUGCCAAUCUUUUAAUGUAGGGCUAAGAACUAUUUUUUUAGGCUUACAUAUAAUAGUUUGGUAUCUUUCUGAUACCAAACCUAGGCUGUCUAUAAUAUGUAUUCUUCUUCUGAUUUUUCUUUAAAUGAACCAAAGAUUUAUUACUUGCAAAUUUCAGAACACAAUCUGUUUAUAUUUUUAUGGAUUUUUCCAUGAAUAGGUUUAAAUCUAUAUAUAAAUGAGAGACCUUUUUUUUAGCAUUUCCCAUUUAUGUCUUUUUUACAUACUGACAUCCAGAAAAUGGGACAAGAGUCGGUUUGGUGGGAAUGUGAGCUCAGCUUGCAACACUUCCUGUUUGAUUUUAAAGAAGCUGUGAGAUAUUCUCUAAGUAGUUAGACAGGUAACUCUAAAACUGAAUCUUAGAGGCCAAAGAGGCCAAGAGUCCAAAGAAUAUAAAGCAUGCAAUCAGUUUUUACCUACAAGGAGGAUAAUGCUGGUGGCAACAGUUUUAGCACAGUGCCAGGUAGCAGGGGUCAAAGAGAGUCUGGCAGAAUUACUACUGCGUACGAACUCAGAGAACUGGGGGCAAAAGAAAAGACACAUUGGGGAACAUAGUAGCUGGAAGGAGAGAAAGGGAAGAACAUUUAAUGUUGCAGAGAAGUAUCAGUAGAAAGCUGAAGGUUGCAAGUGCAAACAAGAGCGGAGUAAGUCCAGAAUUAGGUGGAGACCCACACUUGUUAAGGGCUGCAGUUGUGAGGGGACACAGAAGUAACAUCACACACAGCACCGCACGCAAGGUGUGCACAUGGCCGCCUUCCUCUCCCCGGCACUCAUGUGUUUACAUGUAAGUGUUGGUCACUUGUUUGAUGAUUUCCUAUUACUAGGUUUUCAGAAGCAGACUUGUAAUGGUACAUUUUUUACACGAGUAAGAAAUCUGCUUCACAUUAAGAAUCGAAAGUGAUAGUGUUUUUUCAUCAACAAGGUACAUUUUAAGUUCUGUUGAAAUUAUGAUAAAAAAGAAUGGCUUUAUGAGCCUCAUUCUGUUUUUGGUGCUGUCUUCUUCACCUUAAAAGUCAAUCUUUUUUUUUUUUUUUUUUUUUUUGUCUUUUUCUUUUUUAUCGGUACUGGGGAUCGAACUCGCGACUGCCUGCUUGCAAGGCAGGCGCUUAUGCCGCUGAGCUAAAUCCCCAGCCCCAAAAGUCAAUCUUGUAAUUGUUAUAGGGUUGUCUAGGCACUAUUCAAAGGGAACUACAUACAUUUGAUUCAUCACACGUAGAUUUGUGUUCUAAAAGUUCACCAUCCAAGAAAGACACACUGAUGCAGGCAUUGUGCGAAAGAUUCACCAAGUGCAGACAAGAAUUAUCAAAAUUACCUCAAAUGUGAAGAGUAAUUGUUUUUCUGCUUGUCCUCUCUGUCAUAAUCUAUUUCCUCCCCCGUUCCAGAGCAUAGUAAGCAGUGACAGCUCUGAGAAAGGCACUUGCCAUCAGUUGCUUGCCAGUCUGACUUCUUUCCUGUUUCCCUCUUGGCUCACCCUUACUGUAUUGCCUUGCUAUUAUCCAGUGCUGCUGCAGGCCCCAGACUAAUCCUGCCUGUAAUAGGCAGGGGUGAUGGGUGACACUGGUUGGAAGAGCUUAUUGGAUCUAUUGUAGCUGGUCAGCCUGAGAUAUGUUUGGAAACUACAGGCCCUGCCCAUGCUGUUUGGACCGCAGGACACCAUUUGCUGUCAGUUUGUCACUGGAAUCUUCAGGUACUGUGCACCCCUGGCCAGAUCUCCUCCCGUCACUCUGACUUCAGCUGUCCCAUGAGUGUCUGCCCUCCUUGGCUUUAAAAAGCAGACCAGCUAGAAUUCGGGAACUAACCCAUCCUUGCAUGCCUGAUUCCUGCUAAGAUAAGAGUAACAUUAAUGGUAACAAACACUAAGUUUACAUUAUGCAUUUAAUUGUUGGCCUUUACAUUCUCAGCCAUGGCACAAGACCUGCUCUAAUUCACUUCUUGAUAUGAUCUGAUGGCCAACACAUUGAGCAUGUUAUCUUCAGCAUAAAAAUGAAUAUCCAAUCUACUCCACACAGCCUAAAAGAGAGGGCAAACUCUCCUCCCAUUGGACACCCCACCCAUUUGUCUAGUUUUUUGUUGUUGUUCUUCCUAAGUCUGAUCUUAAUUUGUUUUAUUAUUGUUCAGCCAUCAGAAGAAGAGAAGUAAAUUUGAAAGAUUCUUAGCAGCUCCCUCCCAGCAUUAGCUUCAUUGCUUAACAUGAACGUUUGAUCUGGAAAGAAGUUUUUUUGAUUAUUUUCAGACUGCAGUCACUCAUGCUCUCUCUCUUGUGGUGAACUACCUGAGAGUUAAUUAUCAUCAAAUAUCCAACUGCCCAGGGUAAAUUACAAGUUAUUCCAGGUGUCUGAUGAAUAAUACUAAUGCAGUGUAUUUUACUCUUCCAUCUGAAAGUAAUCAGCUAGUAAAAAUUAUGGAUCGGUACUUAUAAUGUUUUGUUUUAAGGCAGCUGUACUAUUUAUAUUUAAAAUUUUAUUUUUCCAUUCAUAUUUCCUGUGAUGAAUCACACAAUCAUGUCCUUUGCCCAUUUAUACAUUGGGGAUAUUGAUAGUGUUUAUAUGUGUGUUUGACUACAUUUUCAUAUACUAGAUAUAACUGUUUUCCACUUAUCAUAAUUUUUAAAAUUUUUGGCCAGGGAUUUAGUGGCCAGGGAUUUCAGUGGCAUAAGUGCCUGCCUGGUAAGUGUGAGGUCAUGAGUUCAAUCCCUGGUACCAAAAAAAAAAAAAAAUUAAAAUUUUUAUUGUUACAUUUAAUUGCUUAGAAUUUAAAAGUUUAUAUAACUAUAUUUUACUGUUUUAUUUUUUAAUUUCUCCUUUUGCUCCAAUUGUAGGCAAAGCAUCAGUUCAAAGUGAGACCAAGAGCCCUAUUUUUCUUUCCAUUCCAUUCUCCAUCACCCCUGAGAACUUACUCUACUAUUCCCUGAACCCCAAAGCCCAACCCCAAUAACUCUUCCUCACAUUAUUUUCACAAAGAGUGCACACUUGUGUUAUGACUUCAAGUAGGCAGUUUACUGUCCACCUGUUUAUCCUGUAUUUUGAACUAAUGCCUUUCUUUUCUGUUGCUUAAGGGAUCUAUGGCUUACACCAUUCAACUCCAAAUUCAUGUAUUUAUCCUUUUACUCACAUACCGCUUAUUCAUUCACUUAGUAUAUGUGGUACACAGACUGUAGUGGACUCCGAUGAUCCCUGCUUCUUGGUGCUCACUGUUGGGUGCGGGCAGGACCUUGCGGUCUGCUUGGAACCCACGCGACUACAGUAAGAGUGGUGCGGUGUCCUUCCUGUGUUUGUAUGAGAUAAUGGAAGACUGCUUUGCUACCAGACCCACCUAGAGACUCCUUGUUCACUUGUAAAUGAGCUUGUUGUGGAAGCACAAGUGGUGAGGACUUUUGAGCUGACUUCAACCAGUAGCCAGGAGAAGGCUUGAUCCUCCAUUCUUACUGCAAGAGGAAAUAGGUUUUGCUGAGAACUUGAGUGAGCUUGGAAGACAUUUCUUCCCCAGUCAUGCCUCCAGGUAAGCAUCCAGCCCAGGAAGCAUCUUUCCUGCACCCUUGUAAUGCAAGAGAUAUGUCUAAGCUGUGCCUCAACCUACAGGAAGUGUGAGGCCAUAAGUGGAUUAAAACCACUAAGGAUGCAGUAAUUUGCUUUGCAUAAAUUAAAAACAAAUAUAUGAUCCUAUACUAAACAUCAUACACACAUUGUAACUGUGUUUGAAAUAACCCCUUUAACCUGAUACUAUCCCUGUUUUACAGAUAAAGAAUCGGAGGCUCAGGAAUUGAUCUCCAGAACACUCUGCUCUUUAUCACUGUGUUAUCAUGACAUGUUUUAUUUUAAUGAAUUUUGUUAUUCUAUAGUUUCAAGUCAUUUAGAAUAUAUCUCCUGAAACAUAACAAAUACAUGCAAAGCUGAAUUUAUUUCUAUAAAUUCAACAUUAUGAAGAACUUUCCUAUGACAAUUUCCCAGAAUUGUUUCAUACUGUAUUUUUUACUAUAUGUCUCUUAGAAAUAAUAUUAGACACAUACGUAGAAUAUUUCUCUUUUGUGUUGAAAGUGAUAGACAUGAACUUUUCAGAGGGGAAAACAGUCAUGGAGAGUAUGGGCCCCAACCACACGCUUGGGAAGUCAUCUGGAAUCAAAAACCUUCAGAUGCUAAUUAUUCAUACCAAUUGAUUGAGGAUUUUGGAGUCAGAGACUCACCUGCAGUAUUUGAAAUACCAGUGGAACUCUACAUCAACACAGAAUUUAUACAGCAGCUGGUGCUAGUCAGAGCUAAUGAUGGAAUUUCAGCUUAAUAAAAAGACCCCCAACUGAGCACACUAUCUUGAAAAAAGUACACUUAUCAAACAGCUUUCAGUCAGUUCAAGAGAGACAUCUUAAUUGGGAAAAGAAAGAAUGGCAGAGGAGUUUGUCAUCGUGCCAAUUCCAGAUCAAUAACUGCAUGUCUGCUCUUUGGUAGACAGAGCUUUUGCUUUGUAUUAAGUAAUCACAUCUACAUCCUCUCCAUUUGGAGAAGGAGAGUUUUGUUUCAUAUAAUGGUGUGUAAUGAUGUCCUCUUUUAAUUCACCUCUGUGUCUUCAUAGCAAACAUGAAAUUUAAGAUGUAAUUAUAAAGGUCAAUAUUAUCUUUAUUAUUUGAUUGAAUUUUUUGUUUCUUGUAACAGGAGCAUAGUGCUUUCAAAUCUUUACAUGUUUGAAAAUUGUUUUGUUGAAAUAAAACUGUAUGAGCAACAUUAAAUUAUAGUCAUUUCACUAACAGAAGAAAAUUCUGAACAAUGAUAAUCUGAUUGAGAUAAGCUUAUUUUGGGAAAAAACUUUACAGGACAAUCUACUAACAAGAAAGUAACCAACAAGAAGAGAAGCUUUACUUUUGGUGGGAAGAAUUUGGAAUCCGAAACAAGAAGGCACAAUUUCUAAGGCCCAGUUUGUCUGUUUGUUAGAAGGAAGUCACUACUCAACCCAUUUUCAGUCAGGAGGAUCAUUGUGAGUUUGAGUCCAGCCCAGGCUACAAAGUGAGCUUGAGACUAGCCUGAACUACAUAGUGAGACCCAGUCUCAAAUGCACAAAGACACACACACACACACACACACACGCACGCACACAUGCACACACGAAGAGAGAGAUAGAAAAAAGAAAGAAAGAAAGAAAACCAUACACAUAAGCUCCUAGUUACAGAUCUUUGCUAUUAAGCAAAAGACUCGCCUUGUGCCCCUGGACAUGCACUGCAGGACUGGCAUUAGACCCAGUCAGAUGUCCUCUCCGUCCAAACAGGUAGGAUGUGGAAGUCUGCUCAAUUUAAGGACCAAGUGGUGGGGAUCUAAAAUGUAUUAGCUCCUCGUCUUGCUCACAAUGGGUUGACUAGAGUAUGAAAAUAGCUUGCACAGGUAACAAAGUCUGCAUUUAACAAAAAGCAAUUCCUUCGUUGCUACAGAGACUACUCAGUGUUGAAAACAUUCUCAACUUCUUUGGGUCUGCUUUGGCAUGAAAGACGGUUUUUGCUUUUCUAGAAGCCCUAAAUGUAUGUUAAUUUCCAUUGCAAAUCUUUUUGAAAGCAGAUUUUCCAGUCCUACCAAUUUGGGGGAGCAAACUUUGGUUAGACAGGUUAUUAGAAUUAUGUUUUAACAGCAUUCAUACUGAAGCCAUUCUCCUAUUCGGAUGUUCAACCAGUGGGCAGAACUCCAAGGCACGUGGGUAACAGGGAGUUUGAAGUUAUUUUCUCCAAGAGCCUGAAGAGUAGGGAUAGAGGGGGUUGGGUUGAUGGAAGGUUCUAUACUUCGCAGUUCCAACAGACACACAGCCAAAGUGGCAGCCUCUUACAGACACUGAGAAGCUUUGCCUCAUGGGUGCCACCCUCUGGGAAGCACCUGCCAGCAGGUGCUGAGAGUUUAAGUCCUCCCUCACAUUUGAUAGGAUAAUGAUGAACCUCUUUCAAUCUAAAGCCUGAAUCAUAGUCAAGAGGCAUUAGUUUGGCAUGUGUCCUUUGCCUUAUAUACUCAAAUGCACAUUUUCAUUGUAUUUAGAGAUUCCUUACACAUGCACUCCAUAUGCACAUCUUUGCAUUGAUGAAUAAAUGGAAUUACAGCAUACAUACUAUUUUUUGUGUGUGUGACUAUUUUUCUUUUAACCUUCCUCGCUUUCCAUCUCCUUUCCUGCUGCCUCUAUCCCCAUGGUAUGCACACUAUUGAAUUAGCAUGUAUCUCCAUAUAUAGUCUAUACAAUGUGUAUGUAGUCCUAGACUUAGAACUUUUGAGCCAUAUUUUAUAAAAACAGAAUUAUAACCCUUCCCCCUGAUUUUCAUCAUCACUAAGAAAUACCUCAGGGAAACCCCUCCGAGUUGAACGGUGGUACAGUUCUUCAUUUUCUACUUUUUCUAUAGCACAGGUUACUAUGGUUCACUUUGUUUUCAGCUUUUUGACAUAUUUGACAAAGCUGUGAUUAACCUUAGACAUGUGUCCCUAUGUGUACUGGGGCUUUGUCUAUGUAAGUAGAUUUCUCAAAAUAUGAAUUCUAAGGCAAAGAAGUGUAAUAAAUUUGAAUUUUAAUAAAUGUUUUAGGUAGUUUUCCAAAACACACUCAGUUCUCAUUUCUACCAGCAAUAGGGAUGGCAUCAUUUUCCCCUGGAUCCAUACCAAGAAGAAUAAUAUUAGUCUUUUAUUUUUGCCAGACCGAGAGGUUUAAGUUUCAUUCUUAUUGUUAUUUUCAUUUUCCUAACUACUAAUGAGUUUAAAUAUCUUUUUGUAAAUUUAAAAGCUGUCUGGUUUUGUUCCUCUGCAAGUUGACUAUUUUUCCUUUGGGUUAUAUGUUAGAAGAGUUUAUAAAUUAAUCUUGUAUUUUUAUUUCAUGUUAAAAUAGUUUUUCUAAAAUGUAUUUCAUUUUGUUAUUAUUUAAAAUACAUAUAUCAUAAUAUAGCUAAAUAUACAGUAUACUGUGAUGCCUUGGUUCACAAAUGCUUUUAUUUGCAAAGAAGUUGAUUUGCAAACAGAAGUGUUUGGCAAAAUUUUGGUUUUGUUUGCAAGCUCUGCACUGGGUGACAAACACAACAGUGGUGGCCAUCCUUCCUGCACAUACAUGAACGUGGCCAUCUUUUCCAAAAUGGUGGAAUGAAUUAAGUUCUUGAACUGAGGUACAUCACUGUACAUCAUUUUUUUCCUGUACCAGGGAUUCAACCCACGAGUGCUUUAACCACUGAACUACAUUCUGAUCCCAUUUUUUAUUUUGAGACAGGGUCUCACUAAGUUGCCUCAGUAGGACUUGAAGUUGUGAUCUUCUUGUCUCAGUUCCCCGGAGUACUGGGAGACACCAUGUGUCACCGUGGCUGGCACAGCUUUGCUUUUAUCUAGUUUCUCCAUUUACUGUUUUAAUUAUGGAGCCUUCCCCAUGUAUCCUCAUUUUUGAAGUAUAUCUUUUUUUUCUUUUGUUUGUGCAGGGAUUAAAUGCAAGGCCUGUGUUCUUAAGCACAUGAUCUACCAUUGAGCUAUAUAUUCAGCCUAAUUCUUCUAUUCUUAUUUUUUAAAUUUUAAAAUGAAAAAAGAAUAAAAAUUAUUAAUCAGAAUUUCAAAACAAAAUAAUAGAUUAACAAUGAUUAUUAUUUCACAUUGUUAGCCUUAAAGUAGUUUCUUAGAAACCGUCAACAGAGUGAGAAGAAACCAUCAACAGAGUGAGAAGGAAAAAUUACUAGCCACCCCUCAGACAAAAGACUUCUAUCUAGAACAUCUGAAAAAUUGGAAGAAAUUAGGCUCCCCAAAUUCAAAGAUUCAAUUCAAAUAUAGACAUCUAAGAUGAAUACAUACUUCUCAGACCAAGAAAUACAAAUGGCAAAUAAAUACAUGAAAAAAUGUUCAACAUCACAGGUCAUUUGAGAAAUAUAAAUUGAAACAACACUAAGAUUUUGUCUCACACCAGAGAGAAUAGAUUUUAUCAAGAAAUAAACCAAUAAUGACUGCUGAUGGGGUUGUGGAGAAAAAAGAACCCUUCUCCACUGUUGGUGGGAGUAUAGACUGGUACAACAACUGUGGAAAUUAGUGUGGAGAUUCCUCAAAAAAGUAGGAUUGGAGGUCCCAUCAAUCAAGCUAUUCUUCUGGGUAUUUUCCAGAAGAAUUGAAAAUAUCAUAUCACAGCAAUAUAUGUGCUCCUAUGUUUAUAGUAGCACAACUUAGAAUAGCCUGAUCUUGGAAACGAGCUAAAUGUCCAUCAACCCAGAAUAGACAAAAAAGUGGUAUUUUUCUACAAUGGAAUGUUACUCAGCUAUAAAGAAGAAUAAACUUACUUAAGGCUUUUAUAGAUAAGUGGAUGCAACUUCAGAUCAUACAGACAAGUAAAAAAAUCACCAUAUUGUCUCCCUAGUGUAAAAAGCAGAAAGAGUAAGUAAUAUUCAAAAUAUACAAUAGCUAUUGUGAAAGUGAAAGGGUGAAGAAACUGCUCAAAAGGAAAGAACAAUUGGGAUGGGGAAAAAGAGAGAAGAAAGAAGGGAAACAAUUUAUAUAUUUAUAUAUGUAUAUGUAUAUGUAUAUGUAUAUGUAUAUGUAUAUGUAUGAUGGACAAUUAUAUCUUUAUAAGUUUUUAAAGUUCCUGAAAUUUUUUGUAUUAUUUUUGGAUAUUUGCCUCAUUUUCAUAUUUUGUAAUUUCAACUUGACUUUUCUAUGCCAUUUAAAAACAAUCAAUACUUGCCUCUGAGUUUGAUUAUCAUCCAUAAAUUCUCAUAUAGGGAUCUA